This 77-nucleotide transfer RNA is filed under the name Bifidobacterium criceti. Its description in RNAcentral is "tRNA-Val". It matches the Rfam family "tRNA". Rfam says of the family: Transfer RNA (tRNA) molecules are approximately 80 nucleotides in length. Lineage: Bacteria; Bacillati; Actinomycetota; Actinomycetes; Bifidobacteriales; Bifidobacteriaceae. The record is from RNAcentral.
GGGCGAUUAGCUCAGUUGGUUAGAGCGCCACCUUUACACGGUGGAUGUCGGGGGUUCGAGUCCCUCAUCGCCCACCG